GGCAUUGUGGCUGAGUGGUUAUAGCGAUAGACUAGAAAUCUAUUCUCCUCGGAGGCGUAGGUUCGAAUCCUGCCAAUGUCG
Aulographum hederae CBS 113979 is the source of this 81-nucleotide non-coding RNA. The record is from the annotation of a GenBank genome assembly. Lineage: Eukaryota; Fungi; Ascomycota; Dothideomycetes; Aulographales; Aulographaceae.